Molecule: long non-coding RNA, 491 nt
Filed under: Ricinus communis (castor bean)
Lineage: Eukaryota; Viridiplantae; Streptophyta; Magnoliopsida; Malpighiales; Euphorbiaceae
Description: long non-coding RNA (RCOM_LNC001353)
Source: RNAcentral
UAUCCUCUAACUCACACCACCCGUAUAAUAAUUGUUGUCUAUAUAUUCAUGAAAGGUUUAGAGUCUUCUAUAGAAGGGAAGGAAAAAAAUUAAACUUCUUCAAUGAAAUAUGUUAAACUUCAUAAAUGUCAGCUCCGGCAAGAUGAGAUGCUCCCUGCCUAUCCGGAAACCGGCAAUCUAAAGGAAGCAAUGGGAGCCAAAGAAGGUGAGCACAUGAAAUAUCAAGUGACAAAACUUGUUGAAGCCAUACAAAGGGUCAUUGUGGCUAGACAUCAACGAGAAAGAAGAGUGGAAUCAUCCAAUGGCGCCGGUGAAUAUGAAAGCUAAAAGAUCAAGCAUUUCCAAUAAUCCAAGGAGAAUAAGAAGGCAAAGAUUUGAAAUUGUGACUUUUUGUACUCUAAGGUGGAUAUUUGGGUAUUAAUAAAUCAAUGGUUAAAAAAUCUCAUGUAAGUUUGAAGGGACUUGUAUUUGUAUAUGUGUUAGGAGUAAGC